RNAcentral lists this ribosomal RNA (472 nucleotides) under uncultured bacterium. RNAcentral's name for it is "partial 16S ribosomal RNA". It matches the Rfam family "Bacterial small subunit ribosomal RNA", at positions 28 to 507 of the family's 1533-position model. The record is from RNAcentral.
GACGAACGCUGGCGGCGUGCUUAACACAUGCAAGUCGAACGCUGAAGCUUGGUGCUUGCACUGGGUGGAUGAGUGGCGAACGGGUGAGUAAUACGUGAGUAACCUGCCCUUGACUCUGGGAUAAGCCUGGGAAACUGGGUCUAAUACUGGAUAUGACAUGACACUGCAUGGUGGUGUGUGGAAAGGGUUUUACUGGGUUUGGAUGGGCUCACGGCCUAUCAGCUUGUUGGUGGGGUAAUGGCCUACCAAGGCGACGACGGGUAGCCGGCCUGAGAGGGUGACCGGCCACACUGGGACUGAGACACGGCCCAGACUCCUACGGGAGGCAGCAGUGGGGAAUAUUGCACAAUGGGCGGAAGCCUGAUGCAGCGACGCCGCGUGAGGGAUGACGGCCUUCGGGUUGUAAACCUCUUUCAGCACGGAAGAAGCGAGAGUGACGGUACGUGCAGAAGAAGCGCCGGCUAACUACGUG